This 1361-nucleotide long non-coding RNA is filed under the name Phascolarctos cinereus (koala). RNAcentral describes it as "lncRNA (ENSPCIG00000032928.1)". Lineage: Eukaryota; Metazoa; Chordata; Mammalia; Diprotodontia; Phascolarctidae. The record is from RNAcentral.
UUCCCCCAACCCACGCUUCACCACCCUCAGUCUCCUCAUGGAUCCUCCAAGUGGAGCAGGAGAAACCACCCUUAAUCUCCCCAGGAAUUAUGAAGGAACCCUGCCAAUGAGCUGAGUGAAGAGCCAAGCCAGCACGUUGUUGCAGUGUGGCUUCCAUUCCAAGCCAGCUGUCACAAUCUGUCUCCUGGGGAUUUCUGCUACCCCCCCACCCCAACUUGGAGGAAACAUCACAUGUUGGAGACGGCUCCUCUUCCAUAUUUGCAUCCUUCAUCGGUUCGACAGUGUAGGUCCCACUGUGGUUUCUGUGUGUGGGAUCUAUUUUAAUGAAGCCAGAAGAAAGCACAUGGAUGUUAAGCUUUAAAAAAAAAUCAUGUGGCAGUUGCAGCAUUUGGUAUUUAGCAUGCAAUAGAGUGCAGAUCACUUAGACUUUUGAACGGACAAGAAAAGGAAGGCAAACUGCAUGAAUAAGUGAGUUUUAAGUUAGGGAGUAGUGAAGGAAGGAGAAGAUUGAGUUGUCUGAAAGUGUUUGAUGUUAAAUGUUAUCAGUAUUAAAGACAGUUUUCUGUUCAUGGUGUGAAAAUCCACAUGAACUGGAUAGGACUGGAAUUUUCUAGGGUUUCCAUCAGAGGGGAGCUUAACUGACCCCUACCUGCACUGAGGACUGAGGUGGACACAGGAUAAUUACUGGGGAAAUGUACCAUUAACAAGUCUAUAGAUGAGAAGGGCCCAUACCUUUUUGUUACCAUUCAAAACAAUUUAUUCCCCAUGACAAACUGCUUCCCACUGUGAGCCUUUCAUAAGUGCUUUUGAUGUCAUAGUUUCAUAUUUCAAGCCUAAAAUAUCAUUGAAUCCUUAAUGUCCCAAUAGGCUGGAUUCCAAUCACUACAUCAGCCUCUCACAAUUGUUUUGCUUAGAGCUACAGUGAAUGCUCUUCCCUUUGAAGCUGAGCCACUCUGGAACUCUUGGAUUGAAAUUCAGUGGAAUGUACUAUGCAGGCAUUUCUAAAUAGGCCUUAAAUUCAAUGCCCACCAGGCUCCCCUAGUUUUCUUCUAGUGGAGCCCAGGUGCUUCAGUGCUGCUAUUUGCUGGCCCUCUGUGGGUCUUUAUGAGAGCGUUUGCUGCCCCAACUAGUGUCAAGACAUGUGUUUGAAAUGAGCUGAAGUACAUUUCAUUUUUCCUUACUUGAACCAUGAUUUUGCAUGUUGUAGAUAUGUCUAAAAUACUCUUUUCUCCUGCCCCAUAAACUCUACCCCAUAAGCAUAGCUUUUUUAAAAAUUAAAAAAAGUUAACUGUAUAGGAAAGAGAAGCAUAUAAAUAAGUCUUGAUACUUACAAAAAUGUCGAUGUUUAUAUGUAAAAAGAU